GACGAACGCUGGCGGCGUGCUUAACACAUGCAAGUCGAACGGAAAGGCCCUGCUUGCAGGGUACUCGAGUGGCGAACGGGUGAGUAACACGUGGGUGAUCUGCCCUGCACUUCGGGAUAAGCCUGGGAAACUGGGUCUAAUACCGGAUAGGAGACAUUUUUAGUGUGAUGGUUGGAAAGUUUUUUCGGUGUAGGAUGAGCUCGCGGCCUAUCAGCUUGUUGGUGGGGUAAUGUCCUACCAAGGCGGCGACGGGUAGCCGGCCUGAGAGGGUGGACGGCCACAUUGGGACUGAGAUACGGCCCAGACUCCUACGGGAGGCAGCAGUGGGGAAUAUUGCACAAUGGGCGCAAGCCUGAUGCAGCGACGCCGCGUGGGGGAUGACGGCCUUCGGGUUGUAAACUCCUUUCGCUAGGGACGAAGCUUUUUGUGACGGUACCUAGAUAAGAAGCACCGGCUAACUACGUG
Molecule: ribosomal RNA, 465 nt
Filed under: uncultured bacterium
Lineage: Bacteria
Description: partial 16S ribosomal RNA
Rfam family: Bacterial small subunit ribosomal RNA
Source: RNAcentral